CGUCGGUUAGCUGCCUCUCCUCUACAGUAUUCAUCUUCUGCGCGGUGCUCGACACGCCGCCGGCCGAUUUCUCGACGACCUCCGGCCACCAGGCAAGCCUCUAGCCGUCGCCCCCUCCCGAGCUCCUGACGCUUCUGCUCUAUUGCCCACCGCUGGAAUCAGAGCAAUGGAUGACACGCCCAUGAAGUCGUCGGAGCUCCAAGAAGUGGCCGUCACUGGUGGGGAGAUCUUGGGCGACAUUGACGACCAAGUGAAGGUCUUGGGUGACGUUGACAAGCAGGUGAAGGUCUCAGAAGUUGUCGAUGGGCAAGUGCAGCACUUAGGUCAGGAAGGCAAUGAAGUGCACCUCUCAGGGGAUCUCGACGAGCAGAGGCGGGUGUGGGAUGCCAUCGAUGAGAAUAAGCAGACAUGGGGUACCGUUUACGAGCAGCGAAAAUUGGAGCCCCUUGAGGAGAAGGGGAAGAAGCAGCAGGAGAGGGGGCAUAAGAACAAAAGGAUGGACCUAGAGGUAAGGAGAAAGGAGUUCAAAAAGAGGAGGAAGAUAAUGAUAUCUGAAUAAGUUUACUUAUUGAUGAGCCGAUUAGAGAAGACUUCUGUUCAUGCUGCUCCUUCGCCAUAAUUGAAGUUGUAGAUUCAUGUCAUCUGCUGAUGAAUCGAAGCCAUGCCGCAAAAUAUUUGCUAUUAGAGCUGAACAGUAACAAGACUAGGUAGUUUAUUGUUUAGCAAGUCGUUAGCUUCAGAUUGUAUCAAGUUCAGUGCCAUGUAUCUUUGGCAGACUGAGUUUAACAUCAAUUUGCGACCACUAAGCCCGCAUAUAAUCAUGUAAAAUAGUAACCUCUCAUUUUGGGCACUCCUGACGUACUGAUUUCCGUAUGUGGAGUCUUCCAAGUUUAG
Molecule: non-coding RNA, 894 nt
Organism: Lolium perenne
Lineage: Eukaryota; Viridiplantae; Streptophyta; Magnoliopsida; Poales; Poaceae
Source: RefSeq, a predicted model, not a curated record